AUACGUAGGGGGCGAGCGUUGUCCGGAAUGAUUGGGCGUAAAGGGCGCGUAGGCGGCCCGGUAAGUCUGGAGUGAAAGUCCUGUUUUUAAGAUGGGAAUUGCUUUGGAUACUGUCGGGCUUGAGUGCAGGAGAGGUAAGUGGAAUUCCCAGUGUAGCGGUGAAAUGCGUAGAGAUUGGGAGGAACACCAGUGGCGAAGGCGACUUACUGGACUGUAACUGACGCUGAGGCGCGAAAGUGUGGGGAGCAAGCAGGAUUAGAUACCCUGGUAGUCCACACUGUAAACGAUGAAUGCUAGGUGUAGGGGGUAUCGACCCCUUCUGUGCCGCAGUCAACACAAUAAGCAUUCCGCCUGGGGAGUACGGCCGCAAGGUUGAAACUCAAAUGAAUUGACGGGG
This 397-nucleotide ribosomal RNA is filed under the name uncultured bacterium. RNAcentral's name for it is "partial 16S ribosomal RNA". It matches the Rfam family "Bacterial small subunit ribosomal RNA", at positions 523 to 918 of the family's 1533-position model. The record is from RNAcentral.